CACUUUGUUUAGGUUUCCCCAAGCAGUCUGGCGUGAAAAGUAGUCACUGCUGCUUUGAUAAUGCUCGGAGUGUAUGGGGAGCGAAAUUUUGUAGCGAAAUAUGUGAUUUCCCACUGUCAAGAAACGGCUCUAUCGAGGUUCAAGGUACCCGUAGCGCAAACCGAAACAGGUGGGUGAGGAGAGUAUCCUAAGGCCAGCGAUUGAACUGUUGUUAAGGAACUCGGCAAAAUGACCCCGUAACUUAGGGAUAAGGGGUGCCACCAUUAGGUGGCCGCAGAGAAUAGUCCCAAGCGACUGUUUACCAAAAAAAUAGGUUUCUGCUACGUCGCAAGACGAUUUAUAGGAGCUGACCCCUUCCCGGUGGUGGAAGGUUAAGGUGCACUGUUAGAGUAAUCGACUCAGUGCACUUAAGCCC
Molecule: ribosomal RNA, 415 nt
Filed under: Clostridioides difficile
Lineage: Bacteria; Bacillati; Bacillota; Clostridia; Peptostreptococcales; Peptostreptococcaceae
Description: bacterial LSU rRNA
Rfam family: Bacterial large subunit ribosomal RNA
Source: RNAcentral